This 480-nucleotide ribosomal RNA is filed under the name uncultured bacterium. RNAcentral describes it as "bacterial SSU rRNA". It matches the Rfam family "Bacterial small subunit ribosomal RNA", at positions 30 to 506 of the family's 1533-position model. The record is from RNAcentral.
UUGAACGCUGGCGGUAUGCUUUACACAUGCAAGUCGAACGGGCUAUGGGGCUUGCUCCAUAGUUAGUGGCGAACGGGUGAGUAAUAUAUCGGAACAUAUCCGGAAGUGGGGGAUAACGUAGCGAAAGUUACGCUAAUACCGCAUAUGCCCUGAGGGGGAAAGGGGGGGAUCGCAAGACCUCUCGCGAUCGGAGCGGCCGAUGUCAGAUUAGGUAGUUGGUGGGGUAAAGGCUCACCAAGCCGACGAUCUGUAGCUGGUCUGAGAGGACGACCAGCCACACUGGGACUGAGACACGGCCCAGACUCCUACGGGAGGCAGCAGUGGGGAAUUUUGGACAAUGGGCGAAAGCCUGAUCCAGCAAUGCCGCGUGCAGGAAGAAGGCCUUCGGGUUGUAAACUGCUUUUGUACGGAGCGAAAAGGCUCUCUCUAAUACAGGGGGCUCAUGACGGUACCGUAAGAAUAAGCACCGGCUAACUACGU